UUUGGCGUUGGGACGCUCGGCCAGCAAGCGGUUACCCACAGCAUGCAUCAGGUGGGUCUUGCCCAGGCCGACACCGCCGUA
RNAcentral lists this antisense RNA (81 nucleotides) under Curvibacter sp. PAE-UM. RNAcentral's name for it is "antisense RNA of dnaA mRNA". It matches the Rfam family "antisense RNA of dnaA mRNA". The record is from Rfam by way of RNAcentral. Lineage: Bacteria; Pseudomonadati; Pseudomonadota; Betaproteobacteria; Burkholderiales; Comamonadaceae.